GCGGCAGCGACACUAUGUGUUGUUGGGUAGGGGAGCGUUCUGUAAGCCGUUGAAGGUGUGCUGUGAGGCAUGCUGGAGGUAUCAGAAGUGCGAAUGCUGACAUAAGUAACGAUAAAGCGGGUGAAAAACCCGCUCGCCGGAAGACCAAGGGUUCCUGUCCAACGUUAAUCGGGGCAGGGUGAGUCGACCCCUAAGGCGAGGCCGAAAGGCGUAGUCGAUGGGAAACAGGUUAAUAUUCCUGUACUUGGUGUUACU
Molecule: ribosomal RNA, 255 nt
Filed under: Enterobacter hormaechei
Lineage: Bacteria; Pseudomonadati; Pseudomonadota; Gammaproteobacteria; Enterobacterales; Enterobacteriaceae
Description: partial 23S ribosomal RNA
Rfam family: Bacterial large subunit ribosomal RNA
Source: RNAcentral